Macrobrachium nipponense is the source of this 1885-nucleotide long non-coding RNA. RefSeq lists it as uncharacterized. NCBI's taxonomy places the organism in Eukaryota, Metazoa, Arthropoda, Malacostraca, Decapoda, Palaemonidae. The record is from RefSeq and is a predicted model, not a curated record. The transcript has 4 exons.
GAGAGAGAGAGAAAGGAAGGAUUGAUUUCCGAAAUUCUAUAUGCCUCUACCGAUUACCUUUCUUUAUUUCUAUUUCUGAGAGAGAGAGAGAGAGAGAGAGAGAGAACGUGAGAUUGAGAGAGAGAGAGAGAGAGAGAGAGAGAGAGAGAGCACACACCCUCUGAAUGACAGGUAAGCUUUCCUAGAUUCACUCCACUCGAGUGUUCCUAGAAGCGCUUUUCGGCGGAAUCCGAGAUAAUAACUUGAACUUCAUCUGUUUCAUCGAAACCCACCACCAAACCUCCACGAAACUCCGUUCGACGUCGGUCGUAGUCGACAUCGUUCUCUCAUUCUCUGAAAAGUCAAGUCGACGCAUCGACAGCUGGUCGACGAUACGUCGCGCGUGAAAGUAUUCCAGGACAAGUGAUUUUUGUCAAUGAAGGAAGAAAAAAUCUUCAUACAAAUCAUCCAUAUAUCAUCAUCUCUACUGCUGGCAUUUUACCAAGCACAUUUUAAAAGCUGUCUCUUCGUCAACUUGGGAGGUCAAUGAUUCACUGUGGCUAUGCAAUCUGCACUUGAGGAGAGGAUUCUGUAAGAUAUGGUUGGAAACCAUUGGGUUUGUUGACGAUACGUUCGGUCUCUUUAAAAGUGAAUAUGAAGCUGACCUCUUCGUAGAAUAUGCCAAUGCAAUACAACCGAGCGUAAAGUUUACGAUCGAAAAAGAGGCGAACGACCGUCUACCAUUCCUGGACGUUUUAGUUUUCAGAAAAAAGGACUGUUUUAAUACCACGAUUUUUAGGAAGAAAAGUUUUACUGGACUUCGUACCAACUUUUAUAGCUCUUGUUUUAUGAAUUUUAGGCCAAACUCUGUUUCUACCCUUCUCCACCGAGCACUUGUCCUUACGUCGAACUGGGUCCUUUUCCAUAAUGAAAUAACAUUUUUAAUUGACUUUUUUUUAACAAUAACUGUUACCCUGCUAAGCUGGUUUAUAUGAAAUUUGAUCAACUACUGAAAAAAACAUUUCUUUGCUAAACCAAAAGUUUUAACUGUCCCAAAAAUUAAGUUCUAUGCAUGCUUUCCAUUUACACAUGACCUCAAAUUUCACAAAAAGUUCACAGAAAUCAUUCAGGAACAUUUUCAUGCCAUAGACGUAAAAUGAAUCCCUAAGAACCCUUUCACCAUCGGUUCCCUCAUUACCUCGAAGGAGCGAUUACCACCUUAUGUCCUCUGGUGUUAUUUAUAAAUAUACUUGCCCUGAAUGUCAAACAGGGACCUAUGUGGGAUCCACCAGCAGACUCCUUAAGGUGCGUAUCGAUUCUCAUCGUAGAAUAAGCUUCCGUACUGGCAGCAGAAUUGCAAACCCGGAACACUCCAAUAUUAGAAAUCACUCCAAAAUGUGUAAAACAUAUAUCGAUAAUAAAGACUUCUGUAUUUUAGGCCAUACCACCAACCCGCAAGACCUUGUUAUUCUGGAAUCUCUCUUUAUUAAACAACUUGUUCCGUCGUUGAACACCCAUACGUCAUCCUCCCCUCUGUAUUUGUCUUGACUUGUGUUGUUUAUUUAUGUUUUUAUGUUUACGUUUAGUUUAACGCUGUCACUCCUCUAGGUCGUUCCUUAACUUCUUGUUCUGUAACUCUGUUCACUGCUGCUUUCAAUUUUUGUAAAUUUUUUUUUAUUUUAUGUUCAUUUAUCCUUCAUUUUAAUGUAUGUCCUUUUAAAUAAUUCAAUUCCCUUAAUUUUAAUGUGUACAUUUUGUACACUUUGUAAGAAUAAUUUUUUAACUUUUAAAAGCAUUACUGAAUUUUUAUUUUUUAGUUUUGUUUUUACAAUUUUACUAGGAAUUUUAGUUUUCAUUUUAACAGCCUGAUGAUGUAAUUAAUUGGAUAAUUACAAAACGUCGCAAU